UGGCUCCUGGCCUGUUUCAUUUCGUUUCGCUCGUUGGCGUCGCUCGCUUGUGGACAUAUUUGGCGUCAUGUGAGUUUCGACGUCUCCUUCAUUAUGAAAACUCGGGAGAAGCUUGAACUAGGAUUCACUGAAGGCAAGAAACGAAUGCUUAUCUGGGUUCAACAAGAAUGAAAAGGUAUUCGAGUGUGUGGCCGACUCCGGUGCCGUGUCCACACGCCUCAACAAGAAAGUUUAAAAUCCUCAUAGGAUCUUUCUACGGGACUCUGAUAACGAAAAAGCGCUUGUAACUCCCGAUGCGGAAGGAAAAUGACUACGAAUUGAAGCGGUGAUCAAAGCAGGAAGGGGACUGCUUUUUCAGCCAGUGAAUGCGGUCUGGGCUGGACAUAAUUUCCAGGCAAGUAAACGAGCAUUGUCAUGUUGUGCCCCCUGUCCACAGUGAUGUGCCCCCCGUCUACAGUGGCAGUUGCACUGAUCUUCUCAACAUUGCCCCCUGGCUCGCAUGACUGGCAGAGCAGCAAGGAUGGCUCGUUCUCCCUAGGUUAUGUGAUGCUGUGCACGGAGUGAUAAUUUCAACUACCCGACGAGUAUGGUGCCUGGAGCAAGUCUUCGACUGGUGUGUUUAGCGUCCUUUGCUGCCCGUACAUCAAAAGUGGUCCGA
Long non-coding RNA from Ixodes scapularis (black-legged tick), 658 nucleotides. RefSeq lists it as uncharacterized. The transcript is spliced from 3 exons. The record is from RefSeq and is a predicted model, not a curated record. NCBI's taxonomy places the organism in Eukaryota, Metazoa, Arthropoda, Arachnida, Ixodida, Ixodidae.